RNAcentral lists this long non-coding RNA (1110 nucleotides) under Chloebia gouldiae (Gouldian finch). RNAcentral's name for it is "Erythrura gouldiae (Gouldian finch) lncRNA (ENSEGOG00005015868.1)". Lineage: Eukaryota; Metazoa; Chordata; Aves; Passeriformes; Passeridae. The record is from RNAcentral.
CUUUACCAAAUGAAACAAAAAACAGAGAACUGGAGAAAAGAAAAGGUCUGGAUCCUAGAAAAUUUGUGUAAAAAGUCAGAUUUCCUUUAUACACAGCACACACUGGCUUUACAGGACCUACACAACAUCAGUUCACAUGUGGAAAGAUUGCAAGAUCUCAUGAAUUUCCAGAUAAAAAUUCUUCAAGAAAAGUCUAAAAAGGCAGAAGGAGAAAAUUCAGAUGUGUCAGAGGUUUUAGUAUUAAAAACAGACCAAACAGCUGAUGAAGAACAGAAGACUGACUGGUCAGUGGAACAGCAGUAUCUUUGGCAAGCUCACACCAUCCUGCAGGAGAUAAAAGAAUCUUUACAGAAACGAGAGAGGGAAGUCACUGAGCUCUUGGAAACUGAGAGAAGAUUUAACAAGGCAAUGAAACCUCAAGUGACGGUGCUAUUAUUCUUAAAAUCUCUUAUCAAGAUGGUUCACACCAUAUAUUGUGAUGUCCCUGGGGCACAGCAAUGCAUCCAUCAGCUUAUCAGGAAGAACAAGGAUGAAAGGCCUGAUCUAGAAGAAGUUUUUAAUAAUGCUCAGGCUGACAUUCUGUCCUAUGAAAUAUUUUGUGGAAAUGAACUUAUGGAUGACACAAGGGCACACUUCCCAGCGAAGCUUUUCAGAAACCUUGGGAAAGCAAAGUCUGAUUUAGAAUAUAUUGAAACAGAAGAAAUUGUGUUUGAUUGUAUCCAGACAGGAGAAAUCCCCAGCUGGAUUAAAAGGGAUUGUCUGUAUGUAGCCUGGUCAGAAGACCCUGCAAUAUGCUCUGAGGAGGUAGAGUCACCAUUCUGAGGAACUCAUGCAGAAGUUUAAAAUGGAAAUCAAGGUUUACUAGGCAAUGAAGAAACACUCAGAGAGAUACCAACACUGAAACAAGCUCCCAGUUUUAGAAAGAAGCACUGGAGAGAAAGCUUGAAGCACAAAAGCACUUUCUUCAGUAUCUUUUGAAUGGACAAAAAAUUGGAAGCAUUCAAUACCUGUGAUUCACUAAAUAUCAGAAAACUUAUGCAGGCAUUUAAAUGUUUUGAAAAUUUUCUGCUGUUUAAUAAACAUUUUUAAGAAAUCUUCUAAAAGAAAGAA